Molecule: long non-coding RNA, 1039 nt
Filed under: Vitis vinifera (wine grape)
Lineage: Eukaryota; Viridiplantae; Streptophyta; Magnoliopsida; Vitales; Vitaceae
Description: long non-coding RNA (VVIN_LNC005288)
Source: RNAcentral
CUAUUUUAUGGGAUAUGAACAAUUAGACUUAAUUGGCAGGCCUAUAAUUAAGCAACAAUUGCAGCAUGAAAAUAGUGUGUGAAAUUUACUCAAGGGUGAUUAUUUUUAUACCUAGAAAAUUACCCUUGAACUUUCAACAAAUUAAUACUUCUUCAUGUACAAGUUGUCCUCAAACCCUCUAACAUUUAUUCAUGUACAAGCCCUAACUUUCACUAAAAUGGAGAGAACUUACCAAACUCUAAAUUUAUAGGCAUUGUGCAAAUUUGAAUGCUCUUCCAUAAAUGAGAUUCAGUAUCAAACAUUUUUCUAGGUUUGAAAUAAUAGGUAGCUAACCCUAAAAUCAUGCAUUUUAUCUAUAUUUUCAUGAUACAUACAUGCACACCAAUGUACUUACUGUACAUCAAUGGAGUAUAUUGGGAAAUCUUGCUGUUUUAGAACCUCCUAUAAUGUCUAGGACUUCGAAGGGAUCGUGCCUGGAUAUGUAACAAUGUACCAUGGCAUGCCAUUAUUGAGCACAUGUCCAUUGCUGGCCUUUGAAGCAUUGAGCUUGCGCGCAAUCUUAAACUUUCAUGAAUGGAGUAUAUUUUGCAGAUUUGUUACAGCAAUCUGUCAACAAGCCAAAAGCAAGUUUUGAUUCAUGUAUAUAUAUAUAUAAACAUACAUAUGCUUUCUCUUCCAUUCAUUUCAUGUCUAGUAAUAUAGGUUACAUCAAAGCAAACACCAAAGUAGUGAUUUGGACAUACCUUUUAGGGCCUCUUUGGAUGGGUGGCAUUUUUUGUGACAAUACUGAAAGAAAUAACAAGCUUUUGCAUGUGCCCACUUCUAGGGCUUAUGGCAUUGCUUGAGGCCCCAUCAAGCUUGAGGUGCGGUUAGUCGCUGUGCCACUCCAUGGGGACUCAGAAGUAUGGGUGUGCAAUACUUAUUAAUGGUGAAGAAGACAUUAUUAUCUAUGAAUUUUGACAGAGAAAAUGGCAUUCAAGAAUCUGUCUCUUCAACAAAAAUGAAGAAUUAAUUUGAAGUGGUAGUGACUCUUUUGGAU